Molecule: ribosomal RNA, 451 nt
Filed under: marine Metazoa environmental sample
Lineage: Eukaryota; Metazoa
Description: SSU rRNA
Rfam family: Eukaryotic small subunit ribosomal RNA
Source: RNAcentral
AGCUUCAGUAGCGUAAGUUAACGUUGCUGCGGUUAAAAAGCUCGUAGUUGGACCUUGGGUGCGGACGGGCGAUUCACCCUUCUGGGAACUAGCGGUUGAGAGUUCACUCGAUGCCAAUAGACCCGUUGGCUGAUAUCAACGCCCGAUUCAUCCGUCACUGAAUGAAAGAUUUGUCGGUUUAUGCGCGUGUUGGGGUGUCUUCACGGGCGUUCUGGCUCGCGUGUCCGACAAUGUCACUUUGCAAAAAUGAGAGCGCUUAAAGCAGGCUUGAUGCCAUGAAUAUUGAUGCAUAGUACGAGAGAAAAGGACUUUGUCUCUGUUUGGUGCACAGAAAGACAAAGUAAUGAUUAAGAGAGACAGACGGGGACGUUCGUACUGCGGCGUUAGAGGUGAAAUUCUUGGAUCGCUGCAAGACGAACAAUCGCGAAGGCAUUCGUCCAGAACGCUUUUC